GAUUUCUGGUCUGGUGCGCCUGGCCCACGGCGUUAGCUAGUGAGUGCUGGGUCGCGCCUGCCAUCCUUCUAGUAAACAUAGCUACCUUUCACUAGGCUGGUUAUGCGAACUAGAUCUUUUACUUUGAAAAAAUUAGAGUGUUUCAAGCAGGCUUUAUGCUAUGAAUACAUUAGCAUGGAAUAAUAAUUUAGGACUUCGGUUCUAUUUUGUUGGUUUCUAGGACUGAAGUAAUGAUUGAUAGGGAUAGUUGGGGGUGCUAGUAUUCAGCGGCCAGAGGUGAAAUUCUCGGAUUCGCUGAAGACUAACUUAUGCGAAAGCAUU
RNAcentral lists this ribosomal RNA (321 nucleotides) under uncultured Teretomonas. RNAcentral describes it as "SSU rRNA". The stretch from base 105 to 321 matches the Rfam family "Eukaryotic small subunit ribosomal RNA", at positions 738 to 955 of the family's 1831-position model. The record is from RNAcentral. Lineage: Eukaryota; Cercozoa; Glissomonadida.